Molecule: ribosomal RNA, 660 nt
Filed under: uncultured bacterium
Lineage: Bacteria
Description: bacterial SSU rRNA
Rfam family: Bacterial small subunit ribosomal RNA
Source: RNAcentral
AUGCAAGUCGAACGGUAGAGUAGCAAUACUCGAGAGUGGCGAACGGGUGAGUAAUAUAUCGGAACGUGCCCAGUCGUGGGGGAUAACGUAAAGAAAUUUACGCUAAUACCGCAUACGAUCUAAGGAUGAAAGCGGGGGCUUCGCAAGAACCUCGCGCGAUUGGAGCGGCUGAUAUCAAAUUAGGUUGUUGGUGAGGUAAAAGCUCACCAAGCCGACGAUCUGUAGCUGGUUUGAGAGAACGACCAGCCACACUGGGACUGAGACACGGCCCAAACUCCUACGGGAGGCAGCAGUGGGGAAUUUUGGACAAUGGGCGAAAGCCUGAUCCAGCAAUGCCGCGUGCAGGAAGAAGGCCUUCGGGUUGUAAACUGCUUUUGUACGGAACGAAACGGUCUGCCUUAAUACGGUGGGCUAAUGACGGUACCGUAAGAAUAAGCACCGGCUAACUACGUGCCAGCAGCCGCGGUAAUACGUAGGGUGCGAGCGUUAAUCGGAAUUACUGGGCGUAAAGCGUGCGCAGGCGGUUAUAUAAGACAGUUGUGAAAUCCCCGGGCUCAACCUGGGAAUUGCAUCUGUGACUGUGUAGCUAGAGUACGGUAGAGGGGGAUGGAAUUCCGCGUGUAGCAGUGAAAUGCGUAGAUAUGCGGAGGAACACCGAUG